Long non-coding RNA from Patella vulgata (common limpet), 546 nucleotides. RefSeq lists it as uncharacterized. The record is from RefSeq and is a predicted model, not a curated record. NCBI's taxonomy places the organism in Eukaryota, Metazoa, Mollusca, Gastropoda, Patellidae. The transcript is spliced from 3 exons.
UAAACAUCUUAUCUUAUCUUAUCAUCGCAACUUUCUGAUCGAAGCCUAAUGCCAAAAUCAUUUUACCGGUCAAAAUAGGUUAUUUUUUAUAUCUAUUGUGUAGAAAACAUAAGAUUUUGAGGUCACCGUAAGGGGCGAAAGUGGUGAAGCAGUAGACUGGGUAUAACAUUGAUUUCCAACAUUAGGCUACGUAUCAAGUUUAAUGCUGUAGGAUAAAAAUAUUACAAAUUUGACAUCCGGACAACGAAAUUUGAAGUGAAUUCUUUAUCAUCAGAUGGGAUACUGGUCUUCAAUAAGGUGGAUACAGGAUCAUGAAAAGCAUUUACGACUAUCAUAAAAUGGUUUGCUGUGUACCUGGAUUCAAAAUGGCCGUGUUUGGAAAAGUGGAAAUGAUUUUGAACGUUUCUUACGGAUCAAAAAAGUUUGCAAUUAAAUUAAAAUUACCAGAUGAUGAUAAAGGUGACGUUUUAACUGUGAAGCAUCUGAUGGAAGCCAUUGCAGAAGUAGCUGAAAUUAAACCAGAAAACCAAAAGCUGAUCUAUAAAG